ACCAGACUCCUACGAGAGGCAGCAGUGGGGAAUAUUGCACAAUAGGGGAAACCCUGAUGCAGCGACGCCGCGUGAGUGAAGAAGUAUUUCGGUAUGUAAAGCUCUAUCAGCAGGAACGAGACAAGACGGUACCUGACUAAGAAGCCCCGGCUAACUACGUGCCAGCAGCCGCGGUAAUACGUAGGGGGCAAGCGUUAUCCGGAUUUACUGGGUGUAAAGGGAGCGUAGACGGCAGCACAAGUCUGGAGUGAAAUCCCGGGGCUUAACCCCGGAACUGCUUUGGAAACUGUGCGGCUGGAGUGCAGGAGGGGUAAGCGGAAUUCCUAGUGUAGCGGUGAAAUGCGUAGAUAUUAGGAGGAACACCGGUGGCGAAGGCGGCUUACUGGACCAUAACUGACGUUGAGGCUCGAAAGCGUGGGGAGCGAACAGGAUUAGAUACCCUAGUA
Molecule: ribosomal RNA, 446 nt
Filed under: uncultured bacterium
Lineage: Bacteria
Description: bacterial SSU rRNA
Rfam family: Bacterial small subunit ribosomal RNA
Source: RNAcentral